CAAAACACUGCAGUCCAUCACAUCGCAUCCCUUAAACUUGCAAGGAAUAACAGGGCAUCCUCACGGGCCAUGUCAGAGCCUGCCAGGAACAGCGACUAAACCAUCUCACAGUCCCUCGCUCUGUCAAGGGGCACUUCAUUUCAGCCCGUGCUGUUUGGAAAGCAGCUGCUGUCAGCCCCGGGCAGAUGAGAGCUCCCAGGAGGAAGCAUUCGCGCCGCUGCCGGGGAUGUCUGCCUGCUGCCCGGAGCUAGCCCGUGUCAGAGCUCGGUUCCAAGCGCCGGAGCGGCGGGAGCUGAGCAAUCCCCUGGCAGCAGCAGCCAGAUCAGCUUGCAGCCCUGCCUUUGUAGCUUUACACCACACCCCUCCAACGUGGAUUACUAGAGGGGGAUCACACUCAGCUCUGAUUCAGGAAUUCCCUCUCUCUUCAAGAGCUAUUGCUAAGAGUUGGGAAAAAUGAAGGGAAGAAAAGAGGAAUAUUCCUUACCUUCACCCUUCAUCUUGUUGCUCUUCUGUGUCGCUGGGCACGCAACUGCUGAGCUGGAUGACAGCAAAGAGCGUGUUGUGGGUGCUGCUUUGCCACCACUGAAGCUUGUGCACUCAUUCUGUGCCUUGAAAGCAGACGAAGGUCCGUGCAAAGCCAUCCACAUCCGCUAUUUCUUCAGCAUCAAGAGCCGCAAGUGUGAAGUGUUUGAAUAUGGUGGAUGCCAUGGCAAUGAGAACAACUUCCUAACGCUGCAGGAAUGCCAGGAGAAGUGUGUGCCAAAAGGCCAGUACCCAUUCUCUCACCCUCCUACCAAGUCUUCAUUUGCAGCUGUUAGUUCUCAUUCACAAACCACUUGAAUUUGGGAAGUAGAAGCCCUCCUCAGUUCCUAUUAUAACAGAAAUAUGAUUCCUCUAAUUAUGUUCCCAAGUAGGUUGUAGUCAUUUGAAUGAUUUUAUAUGGUGCAAGCAGACAUUCAGGGUAUGGAAAGACAGGUAGGUUUUUUAGUGUACCUGUGGAAUAGAGGCAGCAAUGCAAGGAAUCUUACUUUGUAGCUAGAGCCCUGUUUUGGAUGAUUUCUUAAGUGAAAUUGAUUCUGAGGCUGGGAUAAGCUGGUGGGUAGCAAAGAUGUUCUUUAUUGCUUUUGGAAUGCCUAACCCCAGUUUUGAUCCCAGGUUUGUCCUUUACUUGAGAAGCUGACAGAAGUUAUCAAAAAUUUUGGCCAUCUUCUCUGUUUCAGCAUAAUUACUGCUACAGUAGUAGAUCAUUCUCAUGAAAAAUGCCAGUUAUGGCCAUUUUUCCAUCUUUAUUAUAUUGGAUCCUCCUCAUUUAAUCAUUGGAAAAAAGAAAAUGAGAUCUAACAUAUGAUACACAGUACAAUCUGCACCAAGGGCUUUGUGAAUGCUGGUAUUGCUAUUAAAAUUCAUCCUUGUAAUUAAGAUUUUCAGCAUUGUAUGUAUUCCUCACACAACUGGAUAAAAAUUAGAAGACCUGUGUCUUCUAGGAUUAGUAUAGGCUGGUUGGAAGCACAGCAAGUUCUUAUAGGUUACUAAAAAUACUUCCAAGAAAUUUCAGAUUAUAAAAUUAAUUUCAGAAACUCCUAUUUGGCUUUUCUGGCCAAAGCUGGCUGCAUAUGUGACAAGAUAAUUUAUAGCUUCAGGUUUUGGCUGGCAACAAAUGUAAAUAUCUCUUGCCUAUUUUUUCUAUCCCUUCCAGAAUUUAUGCCCACACAGAAUUUAGAUCAGGCUUUAAAUCUGUUCCAUUGUCUGUUUUUUAACACAUCUGUAUUUCCUGAUCAAAAUUACUCUUGUAAUUUAUAUCUUGUUGGUAAAUUUAUUUAGAAAUCAAAGUAAGUAUCUGUCUCUCACUACAGUGUUUCAAUAAUGGCUGAAGCUGGUUACACAUUACCCAAAGUAGUAUUUCACGAGUGUUUGUUAGUUUCAAUGCCUCUAAUUUUACCAAUAUGCAAAUAUUAGUAAACUAUUUCCAUAUUCCUUGAAAGCAUCUCUGGUCUUGAUGCCUUUGGUCUUUCCCAAAAGGAGACUUCAUGAAUUUUAUUUAUUCAUCACAUAUUAACUCAAGAUAUUAUUUACCUUUCAGAUCUAUUUUUCUGGUCUGCUGGUGUCACCAUAAUUUCUGUUUAGUUAGGUUUUGCUUUUAAAUUACUGUAUGCUUAUAAAGCUCCCUCUAUCAGGAUGGAGGAAAAAAAAACAACACUACAAAGUUUCACUAAGAACUUCUCAAUGUCAAAAACAUUACUCCAUUUUUUAAGUGGAUCACAAUUUUCCAGUGCAUUUUACUCUAAGGAUAAUUUUAAACUUACCUUUUGAUGGUUUCUGGAUGGAUCCUACUAAUAAACCUCAGAGAUCAGAGGUGCUCCAGGGAAGAAGUGGCAAGGAUCAGUCAUAGCCUUGCUCUGUUUUCAGGUGUAAUACAUGGUUAAACCCAGUGGUAAUUAUAUUAAAGUAAUAUUAAUUAUUAAAGUGGCAUUCCAUCUAGAAAGAGGUAUACAGAAAUCACAAUUCUUUGUUACUAAAUAAUAUCAUCUAGCAUUUCAAGUUAAAAAAAAGAGAAAGGGAAGACUUGAAGAAAAACCUUUUGCCCUAAAUGCAAGCACACACAAAGUUCAGGAACCUCUGUUCUACUUGGAUCUGAAACGGAUCUUAAGCAAACUUUCCUGAAGUGGCUGUAAGAAAGAACCUAAUGAAUUACUUUUUAUGUUGAAGUCUCAGAUACUUCCAGAAGUGCAGAUUACUAUUUUGGUGCUCAAUUAUCUGUAUUUGGUAUUUUAGCAAUUGGCAAGGAUAAAAGCUGUUUACAACACUGUUCCUUCUCCAAACUAUACUAUUUGUGUCUUUGAUUCGUCAUACCUGAGUUUAAAAAAAAUCCCAAAGUCAGAUAGAAUUCAAGUAAUGGGUUUUAAAAUGUUCCUUACAGACUAUUGUAUGGGAGCAGAUCUCAUUUCUGGGCAGAAAAUCAAAGAAAGGAGUAAUUCAUUACAGAUCAUGAAUCUGUUUCUAGUUAUGACUCCACCAAGUUUGAAGAGUAAAGUCUUUCAUGAUAAAAAAUUGAAAAUUAUUCUUUCCUUGAAUAGCAUUCAGUUCCAGAAAGACCUGAAGUCUAGGAUAUGAAUUAGCUCUUCUUUGGUUGACACCAGGCUGGCUCUUGGUGGUUGCCAGCUAGUAUUUGGUUUGGGGUUUCAGCAGGACCCACAGCAUCUUUACCAUGCUUGGAGGGAGGUUAUUUGCACCUGCCAGAAGAAUCUCAUCCAAAACUUGAUACUUCCUGUCACAGAAAAUUUGGAGUGUUUGUUCUCAAUUUCAGUUUAAGGACUAAGACAGAGGAAUAAAAGGGAAAAGGCAGGGCUGAUAGAUGCAGAAUUUGGAAUUAAGUGUACAAAAGUCAUAAUCAGGUGUCAUGCGUGAAGAUUUAUCACAUUAUUUCUUCCACCUGAUAUUGCUGUUUUCACAGAAUAAGCUGAGUUGGAAGGGGCCCAGUGUUACUUUGAUUCUGACACACAUAUUGCAUCUGGAACCGAUCUUCUAGACCAAAUCCUGUACUGGCAUAUAUUUGGCAUAACUCUAUAGUAUAAAACUGAAAGUUAUUUAAAAUAAGAACUGGCUUACUGUCUCCAUCUUGGUACUCAGCCCAUGAACACUUUUCUGGAUCCAAGACUCCCCAACAGCUGGAUCUGCUUGGAGGAAGAGGAGAAACAAAGGCUCGUGAUCUCUGUAUUCUCUGAAUGGAUAAGAGUAGAUAAAGUUAUUUGGUAUUACGUACAGUGUGCUGCAGACCAUCAGGCAUAAAGCAUAGUAAAUCUUUAAAUUAAUCCCUUUUGCUAACAUAAUACAGCAAAACACUGUAUAAUUAUGUGAAUUUUUAUUAACUCUAACUCGGUCUGUGCAGUAUUAUAGUAUAUAUUUGUAUUCAUCUUAGAUUUCCAGUAUUCAUUACUGUAGGAGAUCACUAUUUAGUGACUGUAGAAAUGGAUCUGAAGAGAGAGUAUGAGUGACACAAAAGUGCUUAAAGAAAAAUCUGAAAUACUAAAUUUUCACUUUGAAGAAUGUGAAGACCAGUAGUGAGAAAAAUAAGCUCAAGUGCAACUAUGUAAUAUAUGUAGAAAUUCAGAAGAAAUAAUGUAAUAAAAGUUUUUGAUUUUCAAUAUUCAGCACAGUUACAAGAAUAAAUGAGCCAGCAUGAGGGAUUUACCAGAUCAGGAUAACUUGUUAACAGUUUGGAAUCAAUAAGCUACCAGGCAGAACUCAUUGAUGUCAGUACAACAGAGUUGAGAGAGCCCAGCUGCAGGCUGGCCACUCUAAGGCCCUCCAAAACAAUGUUCAGAUUCAAUAUGAGUACUUCUGAAUCAAGCUUCCUAGAUAUCAGCUGUAUUUUUUGUUUCUUCUGCCCAGUACUCACAAGUUCAGGGAACAAAAAAGUACUUUCUAAGAAGAAUUUGCCCAUAGGUGCCAUCGUUUAUUGGAUAUGAGUAUAAUCUCAAAUGUCACUCUGUGUCACUACCACAAAGACCUUAAUUUUCAAGGUAUGAAUAUAAAUUUUAGGCUACUUAAGCUUGCUACUAUGGGGAAAUACCUGCUGAUAAAUGGUUCUGGUCACAAUGGCAAUUCUAAUGUCUAUUAUUUAAAGGGGAUCUACUAAGAAAUACACUUUGUUUACAAAAAAGAAAACAACUCAGAGGUGGAUUUGGAUUUUUGACUGAAACCAGAAGCAAAACCAGUGUUGACAUGGUACAAAGAUUAAGAUAUUCUAGGCCUGUAUAAACUCACAAUGAAAUUUUCCU
This is a long non-coding RNA of Serinus canaria (Common canary), 4778 nucleotides long. RefSeq lists it as uncharacterized. NCBI's taxonomy places the organism in Eukaryota, Metazoa, Chordata, Aves, Passeriformes, Fringillidae. The transcript is spliced from 3 exons. The record is from RefSeq and is a predicted model, not a curated record.